UGGGGAAUUUUGGACAAUGGGGGAAACCCUGAUCCAGCCAUCCCGCGUGUGCGAUGAAGGCCUUCGGGUUGUAAAGCACUUUUGGCAGGAAAGAAACGUCAUGGGUUAAUACCCCGUGAAACUGACGGUACCUGCAGAAUAAGCACCGGCUAACUACGUGCCAGCAGCCGCGGUAACACGUAGGGUGCAAGCGUUAAUCGGAAUUACUGGGCGUAAAGCGUGCGCAGGCGGUUCGGAAAGAAAGAUGUGAAAUCCCAGAGCUCAACUUUGGAACUGCAUUUUUAACUACCGGGCUAGAGUGUGUCAGAGGGAGGUGGAAUUCCGCGUGUAGCAGUGAAAUGCGUAGAUGUGCGGAGGAACACCGAUGGCGAAGGCAGCCUCCUGGGAUAACACUGACGCUCAUGCACGAAAGCGUGGGGAGCAAACAGG
This 429-nucleotide ribosomal RNA is filed under the name Acidobacteriota bacterium. Its description in RNAcentral is "Acidobacteria bacterium partial 16S ribosomal RNA". It matches the Rfam family "Bacterial small subunit ribosomal RNA", at positions 355 to 776 of the family's 1533-position model. Lineage: Bacteria; Pseudomonadati; Acidobacteriota. The record is from RNAcentral.